UGAGGAAUAUUGGUCAAUGGACGCAAGUCUGAACCAGCCAAGUAGCGUGCAGGAUGACGGCCCUAUGGGUUGUAAACUGCUUUUAUGCGGGGAUAAAGUGUGCGACGUGUCGUGCAUUGCAGGUACCGCAUGAAUAAGGACCGGCUAAUUCCGUGCCAGCAGCCGCGGUAAUACGGAAGGUCCGGGCGUUAUCCGGAUUUAUUGGGUUUAAAGGGAGCGUAGGCCGCCAGAUAAGCGUGUUGUGAAAUGUACCGGCUCAACCGGUGAAUUGCAGCGCGAACUGUUUGGCUUGAGUGCACGGUAAGCAGGCGGAAUUCAUGGUGUAGCGGUGAAAUGCUUAGAUAUCAUGAAGAACUCCGAUUGCGAAGGCAGCUUGCUGCAGUGCGACUGACGCUGAUGCUCGAAGGUGCGGGUAUCAAACAGG
Molecule: ribosomal RNA, 424 nt
Filed under: Verrucomicrobiota bacterium
Lineage: Bacteria; Pseudomonadati; Verrucomicrobiota
Description: Verrucomicrobia bacterium partial 16S ribosomal RNA
Rfam family: Bacterial small subunit ribosomal RNA
Source: RNAcentral